GAUGAACGCUAGCGGCAGGCCUAAUACAUGCAAGUCGAACGAGAUUAAGAGGCUUGCUUCUUAUGAAAGUGGCGCACGGGUGCGUAACGCGUAUGCAACCUCCCUUAAUCAGGGGGAUAGCCCGAAGAAAUUCGGAUUAAGACCGCAUAAAAACACAGGAUAGCAUUAUCCAAUGUUCAAAUAUUUAUAGGAUUAAGAUAGGCAUGCGUGUCAUUAGCUAGUUGGCGGGGUAACGGCCCACCAAGGCGACGAUGACUAGGGGAUCUGAGAGGAUGACCCCCCAAACUGGUACUGAGACACGGACCAGACUCCUACGGCAGGCAGCAGUAAGGAAUAGUGGUCAAUGGAGGGAACUCUGAACCAGCCAUGCCGCGUGCAGGAAGACAGCCCUCUGGGUCGUAAACUGCUUUUAUUCGGGAAUAAACCUUUCUACGUGUAGGAAGCUGAAUGUACCGAAGGAAUAAGGAACGGCUAACUCCGUG
RNAcentral lists this ribosomal RNA (482 nucleotides) under uncultured bacterium. RNAcentral describes it as "partial 16S ribosomal RNA". It matches the Rfam family "Bacterial small subunit ribosomal RNA", at positions 28 to 507 of the family's 1533-position model. The record is from RNAcentral.